RNAcentral lists this microRNA precursor (165 nucleotides) under Arabidopsis suecica. The record is from RNAcentral. Lineage: Eukaryota; Viridiplantae; Streptophyta; Magnoliopsida; Brassicales; Brassicaceae.
AACAGAAGAACAUAUAAGGAUAGCCAAGGAGACUGCCUGAUAUCUUUUUUAUAAGCAAAAUGGUCAUUGCUUGAUACAACUUAUAGUGACUUCAAACAAGACACUAAACAUUUUACACAAAGAGUCAGGCAAGUCAUCCUUGGCUACCAAAUAUGAUUCUUCUAU